Molecule: ribosomal RNA, 460 nt
Filed under: uncultured bacterium
Lineage: Bacteria
Description: partial 16S ribosomal RNA
Rfam family: Bacterial small subunit ribosomal RNA
Source: RNAcentral
CCUACGGGUGGCUGCAGUGAGGAAUAUUGGUCAAUGGGCGGAAGCCUGAACCAGCCAAGUAGCGUGCAGGAUGACGGCCCUACGGGUUGUAAACUGCUUUUAUACGGGAAUAACGCGCCUUACGUGUAGCGCUUUGCGUGUACCCUAUGAAUAAGGACCGGCUAAUUCCGUGCCAGCAGCCGCGGUAAUGCGGAAGGUCCGGGCGUUAUCCGGAUUUAUUGGGUUUAAAGGGAGCGUAGGCCGCAAGUCAAGCGUGCUGUGAAAUGUCCGGGCUCAACCCGGGCCGUGCAGGGGAAACUGGCGGGCUUGAGUGAGCGGAAAGUAGGCGGAAUGCGUGGUGUAGCGGUGAAAUGCUUAGAUAUGACGAAGAACCCCGAUUGCGAAGGCAGCUUGCUGCAGCGGAACUGACGCUGAUGCUCGAAAGCGCGGGUAUCGAACAGGAUUAGAUACCCUAGUAGUC